UCCGAGGUUAGCCUUUGGCGCUCAGAAGUGGAUUCUCCUUCAAAGAGGGCUUUUCCCAAGAAAGGGACAUGGUUGUACUGCAUUUCUAGUCCUAUAGUGGAAGAGCAGAUAGGAUCACACCUACACGUAAGUUCGUUCAUUGGGUUAGUGGCCACCCGCACUCCAACCUAUCUAUAUGGCAACAAAGCGAAUGACAAGGCCAAAGUAGCUGACUCUUAUCGCUAA
RNAcentral lists this ribosomal RNA (225 nucleotides) under Triticum aestivum (bread wheat). RNAcentral describes it as "partial small subunit ribosomal RNA". Lineage: Eukaryota; Viridiplantae; Streptophyta; Magnoliopsida; Poales; Poaceae. The record is from RNAcentral.